AUGGAGCAGCUAAGCCAGCAAAUGGAAAAAGACAAAAUGAGUAUCUCUGAGAAUCUUUCACAGAAGUAUGUUGGUGAAUUAUCUGGGGCUGCAGAACAGAAAGGAAAAAUCACACUAAAUGAACAGCUAAGAGAUGGCAUUUGGAUGCUUGCUUGGUGGCCUGAAGAUAAACUGGAAAGUAGCACAGCAACUGCCAUGAAGUGCCAAAGAAUCUCACACCUAGUACCACCUCUGCAGCUGCACAUGACUGUGAGCAAAGGGCAAGAAUCAUGCCCCUGAGUCACCAUCCUGGCCUCCUGGCAUUCCUUAUCUUGCUGACUCUUAGGAGCCACUUAUCCAGGUAUGGUGGCUUAUGUCUAUAAUCCCAGCACUUGGGAGGCUGUGGUAGAAGGAUUACUUAAGCCCAAGAGUUCAAGACCAGCCUGAGCAGCAUAGCAAGACCCUGUCUCUAGAAAAAAAAAUUUUUUCUUUUAAUUAGCCAGGCAUAGUGGUACAUGCUUUGGUCCCAGAUACUUAGGAAGCUGAGACAGGAGAAUCGUUUGAGUCCGGGAGGUUGAGGCUACAGUGAGCCAUGAUUGCAUCAGUGCAUUCUAGCCUGGGCAACAGAGUGAGACCCUAUUUCAAAUCGCUUUUUUAAAAAAAAGUCGCUUGAAAAGAUUUAUUAUUAAGAUGUGAUAUUCUUAUCCAGGUUUCUUUUUUUUUCUCCUCCUCUCCCUUCCUCCUUAUCCCCAUCUUCCUCCUUCUGAGUGCAUACUAUACGUCAGGCAUUUUUUUUUUUUUUUGAGACAGAGUCGCACUCUGUUGCCCUGGCUGGAGUACAGUGGCAUGAUCUCGGCUCACUGUAGCCUCUGUCUCCCUGCAGCCUCCACCUCCCAGGUUCAAGUGAUUCUUCUGCCUCAGCCUCCUGAGUAGCUGGGAUUACAGGUUCCUACUACCAUGCCUGGCUAAUUUUUGUAUUUUUGGUAGAGACGGGGUUUCACCAUGUUGGCCAUGCUGGUCUCGAACUCCUGAUCUCAGGUGAUCCACCUGCCUUGGCCUCCCAAAGUGCUGGGGUUAUAGGCAUAAGCCACUGCACCCAGCCUCUAUGAUUGACUGUCUGAUUCUCCAUAAUUUGUUGAAGUCUUUGCCCUUUAUUGUUUCCUAAGGAAACCCCGAAAGAGGCUGUGGUCUAAACCUUCUCCUAACUCCUCUCUUCUGCCUCCUGAUCACCCUGGUGCUUCCCUGUGUGGCCUGCAUGGCAUGUCCACUUCCUGNG
Molecule: long non-coding RNA, 1255 nt
Filed under: Rhinopithecus bieti (black snub-nosed monkey)
Lineage: Eukaryota; Metazoa; Chordata; Mammalia; Primates; Cercopithecidae
Description: lncRNA (ENSRBIG00000045263.1)
Source: RNAcentral